Molecule: long non-coding RNA, 1648 nt
Organism: Balaenoptera ricei (Rice's whale)
Lineage: Eukaryota; Metazoa; Chordata; Mammalia; Artiodactyla; Balaenopteridae
Exons: 3
Source: RefSeq, a predicted model, not a curated record
CCUGAUGCCCUAGUCCUGACUUCUCUUUUUUUCUCGGGGGAGAACCUCCCUACCUACCUUGAUAGCAUGUCAGACAAACCCCUUGGAGCCUCAGAUCAUCCUGCCUCCAAGGGAACUCCCGGGGUCGAGGGGCAGAAGAGGGAGAAGCAAAAAGCCCUCUGCUAUGAGAGACAAGGUCUCCUGGGUUGGAUUCCUGCCUGAGGCAGCCCCUGUGCUUGGCCAUCCUGAGGUCAUCCUGCCCUGAAAGACUUCAACUGCGCUGAGGAUGUGGAUGCCUUGGGAGCCAGACACCCUGGCUCCCAGCCCAGAAGCUGAGGUCGCCAAUGGGCUUAAGAGGCCGUGGAGCUGCAGGCUGGGGACCAAGGUCUCCCUGAUCCCGCCCAUCUUCCCUCCUGAGCUGAGCUGCAAGGAAGUCACAGCACUCACCGCAGAACAGACAGGCUACGGGCACCGAUAUCCUGGCAGCCAUGCUGGAUCCCCGCUAUGAGGUAGGGCACGAACUUCUGAAUGGAGCCUUUGUCCUGGAUGGAGCCCGAGACACCCUGCGCGAUCUUCACCUUAUCUCCCUCGCUGCACGGAAGGCGGGAAGACUGAGCCCUGCCACCCAUGGCUCAGGGGACCCCACCCCACCUCUCAAGGGUACCAGCAGAGGGGCUACCACCCAGAAGUACCCCCAAAGCCGCCACUCCCUGGACUACAGCAUAAAUAAGCAUGGAUUCCGAGUCAGGUGGCCCUGGCACCAUCCCAGGUCUGCAACUUGGGCCCUGUGCCUUGGGUUCCAGAACUGUAAUGUGGAGACUGGGUGCCACCUUGGGCAGUCAAAGGCUCGGGUGGACCUGAGGGGCUGGGAGCUGCUCUGCCUGGGGCCAGGGCUGGGGGCAGGCACCUGAAGUAGCGCUUCUGGCUGCUGCUGCUCUUCUCCAUGGCGUCCAGCGAGCCCAUGCCGCGGUACUUCUUGAGCCUCACACCAUCCGAGAAGAAGUACUCGCCGGGGGCCUCCGUGGUGGCAGCGAGCAGGGAGCCCAUCAUCACUGCAGUGGUCGGGGGGGUCAGUGCCUCUAGCCCCAUGGCCCUCCCACCGCCCCCCACCGGCCUGCCCAAUCCCCGGCAGACCUGCCCCCUCACCUGUGGAGGCACCGAGGGCCAGGGCCUUGACCACAUGCCCCACGGUCUGGAUGCCACCAUCGGCUAUGACUGGCACCCCGAAGCGCCGGGCGUACUCGGCCACCUUGUACACGGCAGUGCCCUGGGGCCGACCACAGGCCAUCACUGGGGACGGUACACAAGAUAAAGGCGUCAACAGCAACGGGAGCCAGGUGCAGUACAGGCCCCUUUCUCCUUGUGCCCUACCUCCACUUGGGAAAAGGGACAGGGCUGGAUGUUAAUGCGGCAAAAAAAUAAGUGGCAGCAAAUAACACUAGGUGAACGCACUCCAGGAACCUGGACCACCCCACCUACAAGAGCACUACGGGGACCCCGGGGGCAGCAUCAGUACUGCCCUCAGCCUCACCUCUCUCCAGGCACUAGUUCCCUUACAAAGUUACUAGAGUUAGGUACUCACAGCCUCCUUUGGGAUACUGGCUUGCAUUUCUUUAAGUUUAAUUGUCCAAGGUCCUUAAGUGUUACAUUUCUAAGUGAGAAUUCUAAG